RNAcentral lists this long non-coding RNA (463 nucleotides) under Chrysemys picta bellii (western painted turtle). Its description in RNAcentral is "lncRNA (ENSCPBG00000015532.1)". The record is from RNAcentral. Lineage: Eukaryota; Metazoa; Chordata; Testudines; Emydidae.
GAUUUUGCAUCAGCGAUUACAAGAAAGAAACCCCCCAACAACCUCUUCCCCCGAUCACUAGACGGGGCGCGCAAAGGGGGAUCAUGCAAAAGAAGCCAGCUCAGGAAGACAUUAGAAAGUUGAUCUCAAUAAUACAACAACAGGUUGGUACACAAGUAAUCAGUAUCUGCGUGACAGUGAUGGCGACAUUGUAGACUAUACACAAGAGGACCACAUGCCCCACCUCCCAAGCUGGAGGUACCUGGCAUAGUGAAUCUAUUGUUUUCGUUUAAGAUUUGUGUUUUGGACUUUUUCAAAGAUGUGAAGCAGCAUUAAUCUGAAAUUGGAAUUGCAAACAGACCAGAAGGAAUUAGUCCUUGUAAUGUAAAUGGACAAGCUGAAUAAUAACGACUUCUAGCAAUUUUUUCCCCGUACUUGGAAUAUCUCAGGGUCUACAAGUUUAUGGUUUUUGUGCCUGUAAGAU